This 752-nucleotide ribosomal RNA is filed under the name uncultured Pseudomonadota bacterium. RNAcentral describes it as "bacterial SSU rRNA". It matches the Rfam family "Bacterial small subunit ribosomal RNA", at positions 29 to 770 of the family's 1533-position model. The record is from RNAcentral. Lineage: Bacteria; Pseudomonadati; Pseudomonadota.
UUGAACGCUGGCGGCAGGCCUAACACAUGCAAGUCGAACGGUAACAGGAAGAAGCUUGCUUCUUUGCUGACGAGUGGCGGACGGGUGAGUAAUGUCUGGGAAACUGCCUGAUGGAGGGGGAUAACUACUGGAAACGGUAGCUAAUACCGCAUAACGUCGCAAGACCAAAGAGGGGGACCUUCGGGCCUCUUGCCAUCGGAUGUGCCCAGAUGGGAUUAGCUAGUAGGUGGGGUAACGGCUCACCUAGGCGACGAUCCCUAGCUGGUCUGAGAGGAUGACCAGCCACACUGGAACUGAGACACGGUCCAGACUCCUACGGGAGGCAGCAGUGGGGAAUAUUGCACAAUGGGCGCAAGCCUGAUGCAGCCAUGCCGCGUGUAUGAAGAAGGCCUUCGGGUUGUAAAGUACUUUCAGCGGGGAGGAAGGGAGUAAAGUUAAUACCUUUGCUCAUUGACGUUACCCGCAGAAGAAGCACCGGCUAACUCCGUGCCAGCAGCCGCGGUAAUACGGAGGGUGCAAGCGUUAAUCGGAAUUACUGGGCGUAAAGCGCACGCAGGCGGUUUGUUAAGUCAGAUGUGAAAUCCCCGGGCUCAACCUGGGAACUGCAUCUGAUACUGGCAAGCUUGAGUCUCGUAGAGGGGGGUAGAAUUCCAGGUGUAGCGGUGAAAUGCGUAGAGAUCUGGAGGAAUACCGGUGGCGAAGGCGGCCCCCUGGACGAAGACUGACGCUCAGGUGCGAAAGCGUGGGGAGCA